RNAcentral lists this ribosomal RNA (492 nucleotides) under uncultured bacterium. Its description in RNAcentral is "partial 16S ribosomal RNA". It matches the Rfam family "Bacterial small subunit ribosomal RNA", at positions 29 to 507 of the family's 1533-position model. The record is from RNAcentral.
AGUGAACGCUGGCGGUAGGCUUAACACAUGCAAGUCGAACGGCAGCACAGUAAGAGCUUGCUCUUACGGGUGGCGAGCGGCGGACGGGUGAGGAAUACAUCGGAAUCUACUCUUUCGUCGCGGAUAACGUCGGGGAACGUACGCUAAUACCGCAUACGACCUACGUGUGAAAGCAGGGGAUCUUCGGACCUUGUGCGAUUGAAUGAGCCGAUGUCGGCUUAGUUAGUUGGCGGGGGAAAGGCACACCAAGGCGACGAUCCGUAGUUGGGCUGAGAUGAUGGGCAGCCCCACUAGACCUGAGACGCGGCCCAGACUCCUACGGGAGGCAGCAGAGGGGAAUGGUGGACUAUGGGAGCAAGCCAGGUCCAACCAAGCCGAGUAGGUGAAGGGAGCCUGCGGGUUGGGAAGCCCUUUUGUUUGGAAGGAGAGGCAGAGGGGUAAUCCCGCGCGUUUUUGACGGUACCCAAUGAAUAAGCACCGGCUAACUUCGUG